This 57-nucleotide small RNA is filed under the name Arabidopsis thaliana (thale cress). RNAcentral describes it as "ATSL025980". The record is from RNAcentral. Lineage: Eukaryota; Viridiplantae; Streptophyta; Magnoliopsida; Brassicales; Brassicaceae.
UCUUCUCACACUUUCGUCUUUAUAGAUUCUUCCAAAAGAUCUUCGUCACCGUCUCUU